UUAAAAGGCUGCAGCUCUUGCAUAAGCGCAGUGGCUUCUUCAAAAAGCCUCUCUGUUGGGGUGCUGGGAGUUGGACCCCCACUGAUCUAAUAUGGAUAUCUUAUCUGGAGGACAGGCCAUCAAUUUUAAAUGCCUUGGUUACCCCUUUAAGUUAAAAGGUUAAAAAUACCGGAAAAAUAUCACCAGAAAGAGUGGAAAUGGAACUUGCAUAAUCUCCUCCAAGGCAUCCUCAACCUUCUUCCAAAAACUACAGACCAAAGUACAUGCCCAUAUUUAGUGUAUCAAAAAAAUAAAUAAAAAAAACAGCCUCCUUCUACCCACAACUAAGGCACUCAAAAAUAUCAAGUCAGAAGAAAGUGUACAACUGAAAAUCUUUGGGAUACUGCAGCAGGGGAUACUGAUGGUGGGGAGGAUAAAAGACUCCAACUAAUCCUCAUGUGAACGGAUAGGAAUCAGUCUCUUCCACCAUAAAGGACAAAGCUCCAAAGCACUGCACCGCUGAUGUCAUAAUUAAAAAUUUGUGUCAUCGUGAAUUUUGAAUCUGAAGAAAGUCACAAAAAUUAUGAACAGAGACCCAGAGAAUGCCGCUAAUCAUCACUACCAGAAGACAAUGUUUAGGAAAUUACUGUAUUAUGCUAUUUGUGCAAGACAUGUAUGGCUACGCAAAAAUGUAUCAAAUUCUGUUUAAUAAAUUUAGCAGACGA
Molecule: long non-coding RNA, 704 nt
Organism: Hyla sarda
Lineage: Eukaryota; Metazoa; Chordata; Amphibia; Anura; Hylidae
Exons: 3
Source: RefSeq, a predicted model, not a curated record